CAGUCGCCGCGGUAUACGAAGGGGGCUGGCGUUGCCCGGAAUGACUGGGCGUAAAGGGCGCGUAGGCGGCGGCCAAAGUCAGGCGUGAAAUUCCUGGGCUUAACCUGGGGACUGCGCUUAAUACAGGCAGUCUAGAGUGAGGAAGAGGGUUGUGGAAUUCCCAGUGUAGAGGUGAAAUUCGUAGAUAUUGGGAAGAACACCGGUGGCGAAGGCGGCAACCUGGACCGACACUGACGCUGAGGCGCGAAAGCGUGGGGAGCAAACAGGAUUAGAUACCCGUGUAGUCCCUGUCUCUUAUACA
RNAcentral lists this ribosomal RNA (301 nucleotides) under uncultured bacterium. RNAcentral describes it as "partial 16S ribosomal RNA". It matches the Rfam family "Bacterial small subunit ribosomal RNA", at positions 509 to 808 of the family's 1533-position model. The record is from RNAcentral.